This 347-nucleotide ribosomal RNA is filed under the name uncultured bacterium. RNAcentral's name for it is "bacterial SSU rRNA". It matches the Rfam family "Bacterial small subunit ribosomal RNA", at positions 505 to 847 of the family's 1533-position model. The record is from RNAcentral.
GUGCCAGCCGCCGCGGUAAUACGGAGGGUGCGAGCGUUGUUCGGAAUUACUGGGCGUAAAGGGCGCGCAGGCGGCCUGAUAAGUCAGAUGUGAAAGCCCACGGCUCAACCGUGGAAGUGCAUUUGAAACUGUCUGGCUUGAGUAUCGGAGGGGAGUGUGGAAUUCCCGGUGUAGAGGUGAAAUUCGUAGAGAUCGGGAGGAACACCGGUGGCGAAGGCGACACUCUGGACGAAUACUGACGCUGAGGCGCGAAAGCCGUGGGGAGCAAACAGGAUUAGAUACCCUGGUAGUCCACGCCGUAAACGAUGUUGAACUAGAGGUAGGCGGUGUUGAUCCCGCCUUGUCUC